UACGUAGGGGGCUAGCGUUGUCCGGAAUCAUUGGGCGUAAAGAGCGUGUAGGCGGCCCGGUAAGUCCGCUGUGAAAGUCGGGGGCUCAACCCUCGGAUGCCGGUGGAUACUGUCGGGCUCGAGUACGGAAGAGGCGAGUGGAAUUCCUGGUGUAGCGGUGAAAUGCGUAGAUAUUGGGAGGAACACCAGUGGCGAAGGCGGCUACCUGGACCGGAACUGACGCUGAUGCGCGAAAGCGUGGGUAGCAAACAGG
RNAcentral lists this ribosomal RNA (253 nucleotides) under uncultured bacterium. RNAcentral describes it as "partial 16S ribosomal RNA". It matches the Rfam family "Bacterial small subunit ribosomal RNA", at positions 524 to 776 of the family's 1533-position model. The record is from RNAcentral.